AGUGAACGCUGGCGGUAGGCCUAACACAUGCAAGUCGAACGGCAGCACAGUAAGAGCUUGCUCUUACGGGUGGCGAGUGGCGGACGAGUGAGGAAUACAUCGGAAUCUACUUUUUCGUGGGGGAUAACGUAGGGAAACUUACGCUAAUACCGCAUACGACCUACGGGUGAAAGCAGGGGAUCUUCGGACCUUGCGCGAUUGAAUGAGCCGAUGUCGGAUUAGAUAGUUGGCGGGGUAAAGGCCCACCAAGGCGACGAUCCGUAGCUGGUCUGAGAGGGUGAUCAGCCACACUGGAACUGAGACACGGUCCAGACUCCUACGGGAGGCAGCAGUGGGGAAUAUUGGACAAUGGGCGCAAGCCUGAUCCAGCCAUACCGCGUGGGUGAAGAAGGCCUUCGGGUUGUAAAGCCCUUUUGUUGGGAAAGAAAAGCAGCAGGUUAAUACCCCGCUGUUCUGACGGUACCCAAAGAAUAAGCACCGGCUAACUUCGUG
This 492-nucleotide ribosomal RNA is filed under the name uncultured bacterium. Its description in RNAcentral is "partial 16S ribosomal RNA". It matches the Rfam family "Bacterial small subunit ribosomal RNA", at positions 29 to 507 of the family's 1533-position model. The record is from RNAcentral.